RNAcentral lists this ribosomal RNA (724 nucleotides) under uncultured bacterium. RNAcentral describes it as "bacterial SSU rRNA". It matches the Rfam family "Bacterial small subunit ribosomal RNA", at positions 62 to 753 of the family's 1533-position model. The record is from RNAcentral.
UCGAACGAAAAGACGGAAAGAGCUUGCUCUUUUCAGAAUUGAGUGGCACACUGGUGAGUAACACGUAAACAACCUGCCUUCAGGAUGGGGACAACAGACGGAAACGACUGCUAAUACCGAAUAAGUUCCAAGGGCCGCAUGGCCCAUGGAAGAAAAGGUGGCCUCUACCUGUAAGCUAUCGCCUGAAGAGGGGUUUGCGUCUGAUUAGCUGGUUGGAGGGGUAACGGCCCACCAAGGCGACGAUCAGUAGCCGGUCUGAGAGGAUGAACGGCCACACUGGAACUGAGACACGGUCCAGACUCCUACGGGAGGCAGCAGUGGGGAAUCUUCCGCAAUGGGCGAAAGCCUGACGGAGCAACGCCGCGUGAGUGAUGACGGCCUUCGGGUUGUAAAACUCUGUGAUCCGGGACGAAAAGGCAGAGUGCGAAGAACAAACUGCAUUGACGGUACCGGAAAAGCAAGCCACGGCUAACUACGUGCCAGCAGCCGCGGUAAUACGUAGGUGGCAAGCGUUGUCCGGAAUUAUUGGGCGUAAAGCGCGCGCAGGCGGCUUCCCAAGUCCCUCUUAAAAGUGCGGGGCUUAACCCCGUGAUGGGAAGGAAACUGGGAAGCUGGAGUAUCGGAGAGGAAAGUGGAAUUCCUAGUGUAGCGGUGAAAUGCGUAGAGAUUAGGAAGAACACCGGUGGCGAAGGCGACUUUCUGGACGAAAACUGACGCUGAGGCG